UGGGGGAUAUUGCGCAAUGGGGGCAACCCUGACGCAGCAACGCCGCGUGAAGGAUGAAGGUUUUCGGAUUGUAAACUUCUUUUAUUAAGGACGAAACUUGACGGUACUUAAUGAAUAAGCUCCGGCUAACUACGUGCCAGCAGCCGCGGUAAUACGUAGGGAGCAAGCGUUGUCCGGAUUUACUGGGUGUAAAGGGUGCGUAGGCGGCUUUGCAAGUCAGAUGUGAAAUCUAUGGGCUCAACCCAUAAACUGCAUUUGAAACUGUAGAGCUUGAGUGAAGUAGAGGCAGGCGGAAUUCCCCGUGUAGCGGUGAAAUGCGUAGAGAUGGGGAGGAACACCAGUGGCGAAGGCGGCCUGCUGGGCUUUAACUGACGCUGAGGCUCGAAAGUGUGGGGAGCAAACAGGAUUAGAUACCCUGGUAGUCCACACUGUAAACGAUGAUAGCUAGGUGUGGGGGGUCUGACCCCUUCCGUGCCGGAGUUAACGCAAUAAGCUAUCCACCUGGGGAGUACGACCGCAAGGUUGAAACUCAAAGGAAUUGACGGGGGCCCGCACAAGCAGUGGAUUAUGUGGUUUAAUUCGAAGCAACGCGAAGAACCUUACCAGGUCUUGACAUCCGACUAACGAGAUAGAGAUAUGUCAGGUGCCCUUCGGGGAAAGUCGAGACAGGUGGUGCAUGGUUGUCGUCAGCUCGUGUCGUGAGAUGUUGGGUUAAGUCCCGCAACGAGCGCAACCCCUGCCAUUAGUUGCUACGCAAGAGCACUCUAAUGGGACCGCUACCGACAAGGUGGAGGAAGGUGGGGACGACGUCAAAUCAUCAUGCCCCUUAUGACCUGGGCUACACACGUAAUACAAUGGCCGUUAACAGAGGGAAGCAAAGCGGUGACGCAGAGCAAAACCCUAAAAACGGUCCCAGUUCGGACUGUAGGCUGCAACCCGCCUACACGAAGUUGGAAUUGCUAGUAAUCGCGGAUCAGCAUGCCGCGGUGAAUACGUUCCC
Molecule: ribosomal RNA, 1000 nt
Filed under: uncultured bacterium
Lineage: Bacteria
Also listed under: 1 other name
Description: bacterial SSU rRNA
Rfam family: Bacterial small subunit ribosomal RNA
Source: RNAcentral